Unclassified non-coding RNA from Callithrix jacchus (white-tufted-ear marmoset), 116 nucleotides. It matches the Rfam family "Metazoan signal recognition particle RNA". Rfam says of the family: The signal recognition particle (SRP) is a universally conserved ribonucleoprotein. It is involved in the co-translational targeting of proteins to membranes. The record is from Ensembl. NCBI's taxonomy places the organism in Eukaryota, Metazoa, Chordata, Mammalia, Primates, Cebidae.
GCUGGGUGUGGUGGCUCACGCCUGUAAUCCCAGCGCUUUGGGAGGCCGAGGCAGGUGGAUCACCUGAGGUCAGGAGUUCAAGACCAGCCUGGCCAACAUGGUGAAACCUGUCUCUA